AUGCAUUUCUUAGGGCUUUCGGGUAUGCCACAUCGCAUUCCAAAUUAUCCAGAUGCUUACGCCGGAUGGAAUGCUCUGAGCAGUUUCGGUUCUUAUAUAUCCGUAGUUGGGAUUCGUCGUUUCUUCGUAGUUGUCGCAAUCACUUCAAGCGGUGGAAAGAACCAAAAAUGUGCAGAAUGUCCUUGGUCUGUUGAACAGAAUCCAACCAUACUUGAAUGGUUGGUACAAAGCCCUCCGGCCUUUCAUACUUUUGCAGAACUUCCUGCUGUAAAAGAGACAAAAAGCUAA
RNAcentral lists this ribosomal RNA (288 nucleotides) under Triticum aestivum (bread wheat). RNAcentral's name for it is "partial small subunit ribosomal RNA". Lineage: Eukaryota; Viridiplantae; Streptophyta; Magnoliopsida; Poales; Poaceae. The record is from RNAcentral.